Long non-coding RNA from Papaver somniferum (opium poppy), 967 nucleotides. RefSeq lists it as uncharacterized. Lineage: Eukaryota; Viridiplantae; Streptophyta; Magnoliopsida; Ranunculales; Papaveraceae. The record is from RefSeq and is a predicted model, not a curated record. The transcript has 4 exons.
UGGGAGAUUUCUGAUGUGAGAAUAGGAGGGAAAGAUUAGUGUUUGAUGUUCGAUUAGUUGGAAUAGAUAACGGUAAACCUAGAGCACUGGAAUUUUUCGUUGUUGGAUUAGUUGAAGAACAGUUGAAGUUAAAGGGAGAAGGAGAAGAAGGAAAACUGCAAAUAGAAGCAACAUGGGUCUUCAAAAAGAUUUGCAGGUAACAACUUUGCGCAUUCUGUGAUGUCCUCCGGUUCCAUGCCAAGUAUUCAACAUCAUCAAAAUAAUUAUCACUACCAAUUUGGUGGUUACUCAGCGACGUUUCACCAACAGCAUCAGCAACAACCGUAUCAACAAUUUGAACAACAGACGCAACAACAUUAUUAUUACAUGAACAAUAACAUUAACAACAUCAACUAUAUAUACACAAUAACACAAAAGAAAAUCAACAAAAGUGAACAACAGCAGCAAUUUGAAGAACAGCAGCAACAACAUUAUUACAUGAACAAUAACAUUAGCAAAAUCAACUACAUAUACACAAAGGAAAUCAACAAAAGUGAAGACUCUGCCCCGAAUUUCUUCUUUUUCUCUGUGUGUGUUUCUUGCUUAAAAUGGCGGCCUCAGAGAAAACAGUAUUCUCCAAAUCAUCUUCUGUAUCUUUAUGUAUGAAUUUGUGAAGUUGUUGCACCCAUGGUCAGAGAUGCUUUUGUUUCUGAGGAGGUGGUUCGUAUAGACUGCAAGGUCUCGAGAUGAGUGGCUACAAGUAGAUAGGCUUCAAACUCAGGGUACAAUUGGGAGAAGAAAGCAUGCCCAGAGUGAUGCGUCAGCUUAGGUACAUUGGAGCUUCAGCACAGAUAAGCACUUAGAGUAGAAAUUUGUAGUUUGAAUGUAGAGAAGUCAUUUGGAAGGUAGGUCCAGGAAUGUGACCAUAAUUUUUAGUUUUUUGUGGAGCUGAGAGGUAUCGGCCAUCAUGGCCGGCUGUGAUUUUGCU